Musa acuminata AAA Group (dessert banana) is the source of this 696-nucleotide long non-coding RNA. RefSeq lists it as uncharacterized. The record is from RefSeq and is a predicted model, not a curated record. The transcript is spliced from 2 exons. Lineage: Eukaryota; Viridiplantae; Streptophyta; Magnoliopsida; Zingiberales; Musaceae.
CAGAGCAUGCACGCACUCCACCCCCACCGUGUUCCUACGGAGCAGCAGACGCAGCCUUCUUCCUUAAAUACGCUCGCCCUUUCCCACCCCCUCAGAAGAUGAUGAAAAUAAGAAUCAGAGUAGGAGUGGGAGUAGUGUGCGCAUGGCGGGUUUAAGCGUUCUAUUAGAAACCCAAGAGACGUUCCCAAAAGACACCCAUAUCAUAAGCAAAAUUUCCCUCAAGAACUAUACUUCCUCCGUAACUUCUUGUUCUACCCGGAGGAGCACUUUUCUGGAAGACUGUUACCUCUGCAGGAGAAGACUUCAACACGGCAAAGAUAUCUACAUGUACAGAGGGGACCGAGCCUUCUGCAGCGAAGAGUGCCGGCGCCGGCAGAUAUUUAUGGACGAGGAGAGCGGGAAGAGAGACAACUGCUCCCUGGCCACCGCGGCGAGCGGGAAGCACCCGGUGGGGCGCCGCGGGGGGAGGGCAACCGCCAGGCGACGGGCGCUCGCCGGUGGUUUUGCUCUUUAGAAGCCGCAGUUGGCAGGAAGAGGCAAGGCUCUUUAGGUCCUUUUCGAGAGCUCUGUUGUCUAUACGGAGGGCAGUGUAAGAACCGAGGAAAGACCACCGAUUGCACAAUCCUCUAGAAAUCGAGUGACUGAUGCGGCGUGAGCUCUCCAGAUAUGAAAAUGGAAUGCUCUUUAGGUCUAUCA